Non-coding RNA from Enterococcus sp. 2G9_DIV0600, 74 nucleotides. Lineage: Bacteria; Bacillati; Bacillota; Bacilli; Lactobacillales; Enterococcaceae. The record is from Rfam.
GGUUUGGUAGUUCAGUUGGUUAGAAUGCCUGCCUGUCACGCAGGAGGUCGCGGGUUCGAGUCCCGUCCAGACCG